UCAUUCUUCAACUUAGAGCUGAUCCUUUUUCUUUUUCUACAACUUCUAACGCCGCCUCAAUCUUGCUUUCUCUUCCUUUUCUCUUCUUCCCAGCUUUGCCGCUUUCUGCUAUCCUCGGCUUCGUCGUUCUGUCCAGGUGAUUCCUUAUCCUCUUACUUUCGCCACCAAACAUUACCUUCUUAAUUAGGUGCUUCGGUGAAGUUUGGAGCCACCUAUUACCUUAGAUUUUGCGAGUUUCUUCACUCCUCCUGUUUGAGCCGCUAUUAGGCUCAACAUUCAGCACAUGUAGAGAGCAACAAAAUGUCACUCCUGAGGUCAUUUCUAUCCAAAACUUGACAUCCAACACAUAUACAGAACAACAAAGUGUCACUUCUGAGGUUGUUACAAAGAAAGGUUGGUAUUCAUUUUAUGCGACAAUAACUUCUCCUAUUGCUUCAUUGGAAUGUUAGACUAUACUAAGUUUUGACAGUACUUAAAACAUACAAGUCGGUUAAACAAAAACUCCCAUAAAAAAUUUAAUGUUAAUCGAUCUACUUAUGCAUGCUUAAAAGAUAUUCCCAAUUGUAAGCUUUGCAAUGCAAAAAGAUUUUAAUAUGAAUCGCCUAACUU
Solanum pennellii is the source of this 609-nucleotide long non-coding RNA. RefSeq lists it as uncharacterized. The record is from RefSeq and is a predicted model, not a curated record. Lineage: Eukaryota; Viridiplantae; Streptophyta; Magnoliopsida; Solanales; Solanaceae. The transcript has 3 exons.